RNAcentral lists this ribosomal RNA (741 nucleotides) under uncultured Glomus. RNAcentral describes it as "partial 28S ribosomal RNA". The record is from RNAcentral. Lineage: Eukaryota; Fungi; Glomeromycota; Glomeromycetes; Glomerales; Glomeraceae.
UACGUCAACAUCCUUAACGAAUUUAAUCCGUUCUAACCUUUUGACCGUACACUAUAAUACCAUAAGCAAGCUUUCGGCACCAGAGUGACAUGUCAGAGGCCAGACGAAUAGCCCAUGAGGGUAUUCAUUGCAAUCCUCGAUCCCAUCCGUUACAUCUACCAAAGGCUAUAACACUUCAAUACGAGAUCGAAGCUACAUUCCUCCGGUCAUUUUAUAACGGUCGAAACCGACGUUGACCUACAAUACGAGAAAGUGCACCCAAAAAGAGCAGGUUGUGAAAAACAAAGGCUCUCUGAAUCCCACAAGUCCACCCUCAAAAGGUUGAUUCCCCGUUAGUACGACUGACUUUAAUCGUUUCCCUUUCAACAAUUUCACGUACUGUUUAACUCUCUUUUCAAAGUUCUUUUCAUCUUUCCCUCACGGUACUUGUUCGCUAUCGGUCUCUCGCCUAUAUUUAGCCUUAGGAGAAAUUUACCUCCCAUUUUGAGCUGCAAUCCCAAACAACUCGACUCUUAGAAAACGUAUCGUAGAGCACAUUUGAUUAGGCCGGACGGGAUUCUCACCCUCCAUGAUACCCUAUCCCAAAGGAUUUGGGCUAAAUCAAACACGCAGAAAACGCUUCUUCAAAUUACAACUCGGUUAGGUAAGACCCAACAGAUUUAAAAUUUGAGCUAUUCCCUCUUCGCUCGCCGUUACUAGGGGAAUCAUUGUUAUUUUCUUUUCCUCCGCUUAUUGAUAUCG